This 329-nucleotide ribosomal RNA is filed under the name uncultured eukaryote. Its description in RNAcentral is "partial 18S ribosomal RNA". It matches the Rfam family "Eukaryotic small subunit ribosomal RNA", at positions 1470 to 1796 of the family's 1831-position model. The record is from RNAcentral.
CCCUUAGAUGUCCUGGGCCGCACGCGCGCUACACUGAUGCAUUCAACGAGUUUUGUUUUCCUUGGCCGAGAGGCCUGGGCAAUCUUUUGAACGUGCAUCGUGAUAGGGAUAGAUUAUUGCAAUUAUUAAUCUUGAACGAGGAAUUCCUAGUAAACGCAGAUCAUCAAUCUGCAUUGAUUACGUCCCUGCCCUUUGUACACACCGCCCGUCGCACCUACCGAUUGAAUGGUCCGGUGAAGCCUCGGGAUUGUGGCGAGUUUCCUUUAUUGGGAGUUUGUCGCGAGAACUUGUCUAAACCUUAUCAUUUAGAGGAAGGUGAAGUCGUAACA